AGAGUUUGAUCCUGGCUCAGGACGAACGCUGGCGGCGUGCCUAAUACAUGCAAGUCGAGCGAAUCUUUGGGAGCUUGCUCCUGAAGGUUAGCGGCGGACGGGUGAGUAACACGUGGGCAACCUGCCUGUAAGACUGGGAUAACUUCGGGAAACCGGAGCUAAUACCGGAUAAUCCUUUCCUCUACAUGAGGGAGAGCUGA
RNAcentral lists this ribosomal RNA (200 nucleotides) under uncultured bacterium. Its description in RNAcentral is "partial 16S ribosomal RNA". It matches the Rfam family "Bacterial small subunit ribosomal RNA", at positions 8 to 204 of the family's 1533-position model. The record is from RNAcentral.